GUAAGCAUUAAAAUUUCAAAUUGGAGCCUCAACUAUAUCAAUUCUGGAACCCAACAAUCACAACAAGAUGAUAUUUUAAGCUCCUUAUGUAGCCGAAUCUGUGCUGGUUUGAAUGGGCCGCCUCCAGUUUUCGCUUUGUUUUGCCUCCAGCUAGCACUGUGAUGUAAUUGUGACGUAGGCCCUAAAAGAGUCUAUAUUCAGUGUUCAAUUGCAUUCUUAAUUCAGCUGACUCAAGAGUCCAGUAUGUUAAGUGUGCAAGUUGGUGCACAAGACUUUAAACAGUUGUCUAGAAGAUUCUGCUGGUUCCCAAAAACACCAAACCAUGUUGAUCACUGCUAGUCUGGUGAUGUUAUGGUGGAUCUCCACCAGGGUGAAAAACAAUUCACCCGAAACAAUGAAAGAGGACACCGAACAAGAACUAAUCAUCAGCAAGCCACAACUGGAGGGGAGUUUCUGAAAAUAUCAAGGAUCUGAAACUGCCUCUACCUCUCACACUCAGAAUGUCUCUGAGACUACAACUCCCUGAAAACCUGAGCCCCUUUUAAUAUACAACAUCUGUCCUAUUCUUUAUUAUAUGGUGAAAUAAAAAUACCUUUUUACUUGUAGAUUUCACUCCUAUUUUCUGAACUGUACUUUAUGGAAGAUAAUUCAUGCCACAGUGAAGUGCACGGUAGGAGCAAUGCAAAAUGCAAUACACCAGCAUUGCAUUUCAUGUCUGAAAUCAUUCCAAAGCCAAAAGCGAUGCUGUCUUAUUUCACUUAUUUGCUUUUGAAAAACAGUUCAUGGAUUUGCUUUUUUAGAAAUCAUUUGCAACAAAAGGAAAUGUCAUGAACUCAAAUACAUUGUAUUUCAACUGUUUUGACGCUUACACCUCGCAAGUUAGGCACAUUGUUGACUAUCCUAUUAACUACAUGGUAUUCAGUGAUGUUAUCAAUAUUUAACUUGUUCAGUGCAGUAUUAACUAGUGUUGAGGUGUAUACCAAUGUAUUUGACUCACAUAUAUGAUCCGUAAAUUCAAAUGAAGGUUCCCUUAAUUCAAAUGACACAUACUGAGAGCAGAGAGCACACAAUAGUCUACUUUUAGCUCAAGGGUGUGUUACACUGCACUUUCCUUUCUACUGACCUGCAUUCACUCGCCAGACUUUAAAUAAGCAGGAUUGUAGCAUUGCAGUAAAUGGCGUACACUGAGAAAAAAAAAAAAAAAAGAAGUGAUGUAAAUACUAAAGAAAAACAAUUGUAAUUUCUACAUUAAAUAAUUUAAUUCAGGUAAGAAUAAUAAUAAAAAAAAAUUAGUACAUUCAAUAUUAGUACUCAAUUUAAGCUUGUAGAAUUUAAAGUUUAAACUUAAGUAUAUUGUACUUGGAAUUGUUUGUUAUUUUUACACAGAUUGUUUAAGUAAAUAUCAAAGUCAUGAUCCCGUUGUUCCCAUCAUGCACUUGGGCAUGAAUAAUAAGGUACAUUUUUUGCUGUUUACGAGAUGUAUUUACAGUUCUAUGGUUGCUUUUCUUGUUAGGUUAAGUAACUUGCUGUUUUGUGACAUCUGGAGUUAAUCGUUUACUCAAAAUGACCCAUUUGUGCUCAAACACUAUUCACUGAUUGUCACCGUCAUUGUGUAUCAUGUGCCAAGUAUUCAGGUCUCUGUGUUCAUUCAGUUAAUAAUUAUAUUGAGUCAACAUAUUACCUUAAAAAGAAUAACGAGCUGUCUACUUGCUUACAUGCGUGAUUUCACUCAGUCAUGGUUUGUAAACUUUACUCAAAAAACAUAGCGCUGAAAAAAGCCAAUAAAGCAUGUGGUUCACUUGUAAUGUACUUGAGUAAUUUCUACUGAAUUCUUUUAAGUUUACCCUACAAUACUCAUCACACUCUAACUGGCCACGUUAAAUUUACUUAUUUCCUUUGCUAAUUUUGCAUACACGCACAAAAAAGAUGAAGUCAAAUAAUAUUUUAAUAAAUCCACACAAAGGGUAUAACCGCAGGCAGGUGACGCACAAGUCAUACAAUACUGGACAAGUGCAAACAGAACAGACUUGAACUUAAAUACACUGGCAAAUGAAGAUAAUUAAUAAGACACAGGUGAAUCAAAUUACGAAAUCAAAAGGGAGACAGAAACUAGGUCACACAGGGAAGACUUAUGGCAAUCUCACAUUACAUGAUUGAAAGACUAGCUGAAUAAGUGACUACAUUUACAUGGACAUUGGUAAUCUAAUUAUUUACCUUAUUCUGAAUAAGACAAUAUUAUGAUUAAGGUGUUUACAUGAGUUGCUUUUAGAAUAAUCCUUUCAUGUUCCCGCUUUACAUGUUCUAGUGCAUAGAUCGAUUAAUGGCACACGUCAUUACGUCCCCACGCGAUGCCAUCUGACGUCUCCUCCAGAAUUUCACGUAUAAACACAUAGUUCGUCUUUGUUAUGAUGCCAUAUACAGUUUUGGGUGUUUCACUUUUAAUUUUACGAAAGCUUCAAGUGCAGUUAAUUAUUUGUCAUGCUAUACGUGCAAACAGACGAUGGCGUUUGUUAAAGCCAUGCUCUUUUGUUUGCCGUCAAACGGUUGACUACUGCGACGGUAAUAAUGUGAUUAAGGUGUGUACAUGUCUAUACUGCACUUCGAAAAUGUGACUAAAAUAGGAAUAAUCCACGUCUUAAUUCGAUUUCUGUUUACUUUGAAUAUGACUCAAGACUAGUAAGGUUAAGGUAAUCAAAAAUCUGUUUACAUGGUAGAUUCUUAAUCAGAGUAUUGUCUUAAUUGUGUUAAAAUCGGAUUAUUGUUGUCCAUGUAAAUGUACUCACUGUGUUGCUCACACUACGCAGUAAGAUUUCUUCUCAUCUGUUGUCGUCUUGUCAUAGCUGUGCGCAUACUACACAACACAACGCUGAAGAGGUGCACACACUACAAAACAUUCAGUGAAGAGGCGUUCCCGACCAUCAGCGAAAAUAUAUUUUCUCACAUAAAUUCUUGCGAGAAAUUACAGCAAUUAUAGGCCAUUUCUUCAAGUAUAAGGUUUAUACAUUUUAAGAAAAUUUUAAUUAAUUCUUUAGAACUAUUAAUCACCUGGCUGCUGAAGUGCUGUGGCAAUAUUUGUCCACUGCUUUUCCUUUCAGUGCGGUUAUGGUCAUUUUCUGAUGAUACAUCAAAUAAACAGUCAUGUUCUUGUCAAAGGUCUACAGUUUUGCUUUCUAGUUCACGUGUCCAAACACACCGAGGACCACCUACGUUCUUCCUUGAAGACAUUGUAUGUUUAAUUUGAUCGACUUUUCUAUGUUUAUAUCUUCUGCACUGUGAUUGGCUGGAUUAGUUCUACCUUGUCAUUAUGUCGCUCACAUGGCGAUAAUAUCAAACAGGUAUGAAAAUGUCGUAGAGUCUGUGAUAGGUUGAGACAGUUUCGGAUCACGUUGCUGACCUGCUUAUACUUUUUUUUUUUUCUUUAAUGGACAGGACAGUAGAGAAAUUACAGGAAAGCAUUGGGAAGAGAGAGGGGAGUGGGAUCAGCAAAGGCUAUCGGCACCGACAGUACCUGCUCAUACUUACGAGCUUCGACGACCGCAAUGAACACCUAUUUGGUCACGAUCUGGGGGUUUUGUCGCAGACUGUGGAAAUCUGUCCACGACAGCAAAAUCCAGCCAAAAAUCAUGUAGUGUGACCCUGGCUAAAGAUAAUAAUGAGACACAGACUGUGACAUUUGGUACCAUUGAGCAAUAACCGUAUGCCAUGAUUCAUCACAUUCAGGAACUCCAGUUCCCCUGAAAUUGAGAUGUCGAGGACAACUUGCAGUGGAAGUUAAUUUAAUUAUACAUCAGGUGUAAUUUGUGUUGCACAUUUAUUUAUAGUAAGCGAAGUAUAUGUGUAUUUUGCAUUUUAUCAUAUUUAAAAGCACCACAAUAAUAAAUUGUCAUUCAGGGACAAUUUAACAGAAAUUUACAUUUACAUUUAGCAGACACUUUUAUCCAAAGAGACUUACAAAUCAGCUCAACUCAAUUUUAUUUAUAAAGCACUUUCAACACCACAAAGUGGAACCAAAGUGCUGUACACAAAAAUAAAAUGUAAACAAGCAUAAAACCAGAGACAGACACCAAUAAAAAAUAAACAAACCUCGACGAACCAUAAGGUUUAACUGAUCAUCUGACCGCAGAGACCUAUUAGAUUGAUACAGACAAAUUAAAUCAGAAAUGUACUCAGGUGCUGUACCAUGCAAAGCUUUGCGCAAUUUGUACGCAAUGCUGAAAUGUUGGCUAUCAUGAAAAGUGUAUGUAUGGCGGCAAUAGUGGCUUAUUUAAGAAGAAUAGUGUAAGCAGCACUACACGCCCACAAAAAAAACGCGGCGCAACCGGUGUUUAUCAUAGAAAAGGCAACAUAUCAGAUGAAUUCUGUGAGAUGAGGACGGGAGCGCCGGAGUUUGUCAA
Molecule: RNA transcript, 4394 nt
Organism: Onychostoma macrolepis
Lineage: Eukaryota; Metazoa; Chordata; Actinopteri; Cypriniformes; Cyprinidae
Gene name: neoverrucotoxin subunit alpha-like
Exons: 2
Source: RefSeq, a predicted model, not a curated record